CGCCCAUUAAUAUAUUAACCAAUCUAUUAACCUUAAGAAAAAUUCUUAAAUAAAACAGUAUUAUUUUAUAACUUCAUACCAUCAAUAACCGCAAGGGUUUUCAACUUCGCCCACCACAGAAAAGAUAAUCACUUGUCCCUUUUGCAUUAUGGAGGAGCAACAAACCUUAAUUUUUUACCCUUCCCGAAUAGCCAUGAGCUACUAAACCCUAAAGCUUAAUGUUUCAUAAUUAACACAUUAGCUUUUAGUAGAAGUAACAAGCCUUACAUAUGACUAGAUAACUGGUUUUUCGCAAAAAGUAUCAAAGUACUGCUUUAUAGUAAGUAAACACUCUUAACUACCUAUAAACGUCAACCUUUUAAGGAUUAGCCUAAAAGGGGAAUUAAAAUAUCUUAUCAACCCAACCUCUUAAGUAGGCUUAAGAGCAGCCAUCUAAAUAGCGUUCUAGCUAAUAAAUUUCGAUAUACUAACAUUAAAUCUAAAAUUUUAACUAAAGCGAAAUCUAGUAUUAAACAACUUUACUAUCAAACAGGCAUCCUAUUAGUAUUAACCAAACCUAAUUAUUAAACAUAUUAAUAAAACUGAUUCACAAUCUUUAUUACCAAACCAAAUUAUGUAAAGCGAACUCGGCAAUAAAAUCCCCUGCCUGUUUACCAAAAACAUCGUCUUUUGUCUACUCCUAUAAAAGAUAAUGCCUGCCCAGUGAGAACCUUUCUUAAACGGCCGCGUUAGCGUGAGCGUGCUAAGGUAGCGCAAUAAAUAGCCUUUUAAUUGGAGGCCAGUCAAUGGCAAAACUAGGGAUAUCUGUACCUUACAUAAUAAAAAAACUUUUCAUUUGAGUGAAAAGACUUAAAUAACAAAGGAAGACGAAAAGACCCCGCGGAACUUUACCUUUUCUAGUUACUCACAUGCUUAAAAACAUAACAAACAUAAGGUUUGAUUGGGGCAAUCUCGGAACCAACCAAACUUCCGAUUAACAGCACAAAAGCAUAGAAAGCUCAAUAAGAACCAAAAAGAAGUUACCCCGGGGAUAACAGCGUAAUCUAACUUGAGAGUACACAUCGAAAGUUGGGUUUGCGACCUCGAUGUUGGCUUAAGGAUAUCCAUAUAAGUGCAACCGCUAUGACAGGAUAGUCUGUUCGACUAUUAUACCCUUACACGAGCUGAGUUAAGACCGGCGCAAGCUAGGUUGGUUUCUAUCUCCUUUAUUCACAAGUUUUCUUGAUUGUACGAAAGGACCCCAAGAAAUGCACAACAAGCAUCAUUAAGUUAACUAAUAAUAAAACUAACUCUUCACCCACUUU
RNAcentral lists this ribosomal RNA (1304 nucleotides) under Popenaias popeii. RNAcentral describes it as "16S ribosomal RNA". The stretch from base 836 to 1210 matches the Rfam family "Bacterial large subunit ribosomal RNA", at positions 2049 to 2651 of the family's 2925-position model. The record is from RNAcentral. Lineage: Eukaryota; Metazoa; Mollusca; Bivalvia; Unionida; Unionidae.